This 200-nucleotide small nucleolar RNA is filed under the name Echinops telfairi (small Madagascar hedgehog). Its description in RNAcentral is "Small nucleolar RNA U3 (ENSETEG00000023937.1)". It matches the Rfam family "Small nucleolar RNA U3". Rfam says of the family: Small nucleolar RNAs (snoRNAs) are involved in the processing and modification of rRNA in the nucleolus. There are two main classes of snoRNAs: the box C/D class, and the box H/ACA class. The record is from RNAcentral. Lineage: Eukaryota; Metazoa; Chordata; Mammalia; Afrosoricida; Tenrecidae.
AAGACUACUUUCAGGGAUCACUUCAAGUUUCUCUGAUCAGGCAGCACACCAAAAAAACAUGAAGAGGAGGAGCCAUAGCUUGCUUUCCUGAGUGUGAAGCUGGCCAUUUUUGUUGCCUCACUGCGAAUGCUUUUUGCCAUUGAUGACCAUUCUUCUCUCCUUUCAAGAAGAGGAAGAGGGAGAGGAUGUUGCCCGAAUGG